RNAcentral lists this non-coding RNA (28 nucleotides) under Mus musculus (house mouse). Lineage: Eukaryota; Metazoa; Chordata; Mammalia; Rodentia; Muridae. The record is from RNAcentral.
UCAACCUCAAGUGCAGCCCUGUAGUUAA